Molecule: ribosomal RNA, 352 nt
Filed under: Hydnum minus
Lineage: Eukaryota; Fungi; Basidiomycota; Agaricomycetes; Cantharellales; Hydnaceae
Description: partial 28S ribosomal RNA
Rfam family: Eukaryotic large subunit ribosomal RNA
Source: RNAcentral
UUCUGACCUCGAAUCAGGUGGGACUACCCGCUGAACUUAAGCAUAUCAAUAAGCGGAGGAAAAGAAACUAACAAGGAUUCCCCUAGUAACGGCGAGUGAAGCGGGAUGAGCUCAAAUUUGGAAUCUGGUAGCCUUUGGCUGCCCGAGUUGUAAUCUAGAGAAGUGUUUUCUGUGCUGGCCUGUGUUCAAGUUUCCUGGAUAUGGAACAUCAUAGAGGGUGAGAAUCCCGUCUUUGGCACAGACUCCCAGUGCUAUGUGAUACACUCUCAACGAGUCGAGUUGUUUGGGAUUGCAGCUCAAAAUGGGAGGUAAAUUCCUUCUAAAGCUAAAUAUUGGCGAGAGACCGAUAGCG